AGAGUUUGAUCCUGGCUCAGGACGAACGCUGGCGGCACGCUUAACACAUGCAAGUCGAACGAGAGAAGAGGAGCUUGCUUUUCUGAUCUAGUGGCGGACGGGUGAGUAACACGUGAGCAAUCUGCCUUUCAGAGGGGGAUACCGAUUGGAAACGAUCGUUAAUACCGCAUAACAUAAUUGAACCGCAUGAUUUGAUUAUCAAAGAUUUAUCGCUGAAAGAUGAGCUCGCGUCUGAUUAGCUAGUUGGUAAGGUAACGGCUUACCAAGGCGACGAUCAGUAGCCGGACUGAGAGGUUGAUCGGCCACAUUGGGACUGAGACACGGCCCAGACUCCUACGGGAGGCAGCAGUGGGGAAUAUUGCACAAUGGAGGAAACUCUGAUGCAGCGAUGCCGCGUGAGGGAAGAAGGUUUUAGGAUUGUAAACCUCUGUCUUCAGGGACGAAAAAAGACGGUACCUGAGGAGGAAGCUCCGGCUAACUACGUGCCAGCAGCCGCGGUAAUACGUAGGGAGCGAGCGUUGUCCGGAAUUACUGGGUGUAAAGGGAGCGUAGGCGGGAUCGCAAGUCAGAUGUGAAAACUAUGGGCUUAACCCAUAAACUGCAUUUGAAACUGUGGUUCUUGAGUGAAGUAGAGGUAAGCGGAAUUCCUAGUGUAGCGGUGAAAUGCGUAGAUAUUAGGAGGAACAUCAGUGGCGAAGGCGGCUUACUGGGCUUUAACUGACGCUGAGGCUCGAAAGCGUGGGGAGCAAACAGGAUUAGAUACCCUGGUAGUCCACGCCGUAAACGAUGAUUACUAGGUGUGGGGGGACUGACCCCUUCCGUGCCGCAGCAAACGCAAUAGGUAAUCCACCUGGGGAGUACGACCGCAAGGUUGAAACUCAAAGGAAUUGACGGGGGCCCGCACAAGCAGUGGAGUAUGUGGAUUAAUUCGAAGCAACGCGAAGAACCUUACCAGGUCUUGACAUCGUAUGCAUAGCUCAGAGAUGAGUGAAAUCUCUUCGGAGACAUAUAGACAGGUGGUGCAUGGUUGUCGUCAGCUCGUGUCGUGAGAUGUUGGGUUAAGUCCCGCAACGAGCGCAACCCUUACUGUUAGUUGCUACGCAAGAGCACUCUAGCAGGACUGCCGUUGACAAAACGGAGGAAGGUGGGGAUGACGUCAAAUCAUCAUGCCCCUUAUGACCUGGGCCUCACACGUACUACAAUGGCUGUCAACAGAGGGAAGCAAAGCCGCGAGGUGGAGCGAACCCCUAAAAGCAGUCUUAGUUCGGAUUGUAGGCUGCAACCCGCCUACAUGAAGUCGGAAUUGCUAGUAAUCGCAGAUCAGCAUGCUGCGGUGAAUACGUUCCCGGGCCUUGUACACACCGCCCGUCACGCCAUGGGAGUCGGUAACACCCGAAGCCUGUAGUCUAACCGCAAGGAGGACGCAGUCGAAGGUGGGAUUGAUGACUGGGGUGAAGUCGUAACAAGGUA
Molecule: ribosomal RNA, 1470 nt
Filed under: metagenome
Description: bacterial SSU rRNA
Rfam family: Bacterial small subunit ribosomal RNA
Source: RNAcentral